Ictalurus punctatus (channel catfish) is the source of this 1250-nucleotide long non-coding RNA. The record is from Ensembl. Lineage: Eukaryota; Metazoa; Chordata; Actinopteri; Siluriformes; Ictaluridae.
GUGUCUAUUAAUAAAGUUGAUACACUCUAUUAAAUGAUACAUAAAAUUGACAUUUUGUAGUAAUUUUCACAAUUUAAAUGAACCAAAAAAAAAAAAAAAACAGAUCAGUCACAUGGAAAAAGUAAGUACACCCCUACAUUUCUCACACCUUCAAAUCCAUAUAAUUAGAAUCCGGUGUUGAAGAUCGGGUGGCAGUGAUUAGAACCUGCUCAGGAAGUGCAGGUGGAACUGGUCUUAUUUAUACACCUUUCAUAUCUAGUGUCUGGUGUUCCCUUUGUUAGUGAGGUGUGUGGUAUCUCCAAAUUAUUUGAAAUACAUCAUUCCACUGUGAGGAAAAUAAUCUACAAAUGCCGCAGAUUAUAAACGACUGCCGAUUUGUCCAGGACUGGUCGUCCCGGCAAAUUCAGCCCAAGAGCAGACCGUCAAAAAGAAGUCCCCGAAAACCCCAGGAUUUCCUCACAGGAUCUGCUAGUAAGUCUUACUGCUGUUGGUGUUAAAGUGCAUGCUUCUACAAUCAGAAUGAGAUUGCACAAAUUUGAGCUGCAUGGGAGGUGUGCCAGGAAAAAGCCUUUGCAGGACUACAGUUUGUCAACGAGUGUGUAGGCAAAGACCAGGCCUUUUGGAAUAAUGUCUAAUAACAGCAGAUAUGUUUGCCAUUGACCAAAGACAGCUUUUCAGGAGAAGCGCCUCAUACCACCUGUGAAGCACGGUGGUGGAAAUGUUAUGGUUUUGGGUUGCUUCUUUGCCUCAGGGACUGGACAGCUUGCAUUCGUUGAUUCAAGUAUGAAUUCUGCAUCAUAUCAAAGAGUUCUUGAAGUUAAUGUGAGGCCAUCUGUCUGAAAGCUGAAGAUGAAGAUCUGAAAGUGGAUCUUUCAACAGGAUAAUGAUCCUAAACACACUAGAAAAUUCCUGAAGGAAUGGCUCAAAAAGAAGAAAUGGAGGGUUAUGGAAUGGCCCAGUCAAAGCCCGGAUUUGAAGCCAAUUAAAAUGUUGUGGGUGCAUUUGAAACUGGCAGUACAUGCAAGAAAACCCUCAAACAUCUCGUAACUGAAAGAAUAUUGCAUUCCAGCAAGCCUGGUGGACAAUUAUGCAAAACACCUACAAGAAGUUAUUUCUGCUAAAGGGGGCAAUACUAGCUUCUGAGGAAAAGGGUGUACCUACUUUUUCCACUAAAGAUCAGAUCUGUUUAUAUUUCUGUUGAAUAAAUAAUUGAAAAAGCUAAUUUUCCAUGUGGUUUUGUUCAAGUAUAU